This 449-nucleotide ribosomal RNA is filed under the name uncultured bacterium. Its description in RNAcentral is "SSU rRNA". It matches the Rfam family "Bacterial small subunit ribosomal RNA", at positions 26 to 518 of the family's 1533-position model. The record is from RNAcentral.
AGAGCGAACGCUGGCGGCAGGCUUAACACAUGCAAGUCGAGCGGGCGUAGCAAUACGUCAGCGGCAGACGGGUGAGUAACGCGUGGGAACAUACCUUUUGGUUCGGAACAACACAGGGAAACUUGUGCUAAUACCGGAUACGCCCUUACGGGGAAAGAUUUAUCGCCGAAAGAUUGGCCCGCGUCUGAUUAGCUAGUUGGUGAGGUAAUGGCUCACCAAGGCGACGAUCAGUAGCUGGUCUGAGAGGAUGAUCAGCCACAUUGGGACUGAGACACGGCCCAAACUCCUACGGGAGGCAGCAGUGGGGAAUAUUGGACAAUGGGCGCAAGCCUGAUCCAGCCAUGCCGCGUGAGUGAUGAAGGCCCUAGGGUUGUAAAGCUCUUUUGUGCGGGAAGAUAAUGACGGUACCGCAAGAAUAACGCCCCGGCUAACUUCGUGCCAGCAGCCGC